RNAcentral lists this unclassified non-coding RNA (403 nucleotides) under Hevea brasiliensis (rubber tree). Lineage: Eukaryota; Viridiplantae; Streptophyta; Magnoliopsida; Malpighiales; Euphorbiaceae. The record is from RNAcentral.
AUCCAAGCAGAGCUCUCCCAAACAACAGCUAUCUCCCCAUGGAAUGACGAGCUAGGAAAACACAAUCAACUGCAAAUUGGUGAGCAAGGAACCAAUUAAGUGAUGGAGAACCCAGGAAAGACAAAAUGGAGGUUAAACCACCUCAAUCUCAUGUAGCCUAAAAGGAAUUAUUAACCAAUAGUUCCUACACAUCUUUUGAGAUAACCAUCAACAUGGAUAUCCAUGGAGAUAGAUUUCCUCUAGGUUUGACACAUAUCGGCUACUGGAUCCACAAAGACUCAUCAAAAGACCCUAUCCAAGAAGAGGUACUAAAACUCUAAAUCUAGAAACUAGAAAAGCACUGCAACAAAAUAGUACAAACUAAAGAAAUUACAAAAAGAAGAAGAAGAAAAGGUAGAGGGGG